UGGGGAGUUCAUCUAUAAUUGUCAUUAUCUUUUUUGAUUAUUUUAUAUUUCUAUACUAAAAUAAUAACUAUUAUAGCUGUAUUAUGAUAGAAAAAUAAUGGAUAACAAUGGAAAAUAAUGAUGUCAUUUUCCACUGUUCGGUCAUUAAAUAUUAUUCUUUAAGAUUUGAAAUUUAUUAAUUCAAUUGACAAAUAUCGGCUCAAAAAAAGUAG
RNAcentral lists this long non-coding RNA (212 nucleotides) under Elaeis guineensis (African oil palm). Its description in RNAcentral is "long non-coding RNA (EGUI_LNC019284)". The record is from RNAcentral. Lineage: Eukaryota; Viridiplantae; Streptophyta; Magnoliopsida; Arecales; Arecaceae.